UGGAGGGUCACCAAAUCUAAGGGGGAAUGGUGGAAGGGGGUGACAGCGGGCUACGAGCCGAGUUCUUGAAAAGCUCUUUUUUGUGAUAUGGUGAGGAGACUGCGGAGAGGGGCACAGGAAGAGUUAUUGAUAUUCCCCGCUGUCGGUGCCUUGGGAACUGCCGAAUAAGAAGUGGAGGAGACAAGGAGAUCAGGCGGCGCAGGCUUUUCUCGGGUAUGGCAGGCAACCGCGCGCUAGAACAGGCCCCGCAAUAACUUCCCAACAUCCCAUCCCGUCCCGUCCAGCUGCUGUUCACUUCAAUUUUUAAUCACAUCC
This 315-nucleotide long non-coding RNA is filed under the name Setaria viridis. Its description in RNAcentral is "long non-coding RNA (SVIR_LNC006614)". Lineage: Eukaryota; Viridiplantae; Streptophyta; Magnoliopsida; Poales; Poaceae. The record is from RNAcentral.